GGAUAAAAAGUAUAGAAAAGAAUUUUUUGUCUCUUUAAUAUUAGAUAUAGAUAGAUUAGCCGUCUUUGAGAAUGGCACCAGGACUGCCCUUGAACUGGGCCUAGGUCUGGAUUUCGGGCAACACGGAACCAGGAGGUACCCGCUCUACUUUGUCAUGCCCGUGAACUGUUCGAUGGAAUGCCACACCGAUACGACACUACCUUCAGGCUCUUUCUCACUCAGGUGCGUGUUUACCUCCAACUAGACCUUGUCUCUUGCUUGCAUAAUUUCGUCUGACUGAGCUUGUCAGCUUGAUGUGUACUCUUCUGUUGUUUUCUUAUAUACUGCUCAUCUUGGUCAGCAAUUAAUACUAGAACUCUGCCUACACAAUGCAGUAACCCUGAACUGAAUGUAUCACUCGUUAUGGCCUCAAUAUCACACGUCACAAGCUGAAUUUUAUCGCUGUGGAUCCAAAAUAUCUAUUUUUCUAUCUACAAAUGUAAAAAAACAUGUACAACAUAUGCAUCUCUUUUGAAUUGAAUCAGCCGGUUAGUAAGAAUACACUAUUUAGUCCCAGUAAGCUGCUUAACAUAGCCUUCUGGCAUUAGGCCACAACCUGACAUCAAAUCUUGAGUAUUGAUUGCUUGCUCCAUGAUGAAUUUGAUUCCAUGCAGAAGAUCUGAUCACCACAUUAUCUUGUUAAGACUACCAGAUCAUGCACUAGCAUAUUUGAUAGUUUGGGCAUUUGGAUAAGCACUCCUGCAUACCUAGCUCAUUUUAGUGAAGAAUGCCAUGUCACUGUGCUGCUUCGAAAGGUACGAUGGAUUUACGCACGCAAACAGCGAUGUCUUCUUUUUCUUGGCUGGAAAGAGGAACAUCCGCAGCGGUACUUUUGAUUUAGAGGGCGCAUUCCUCCAGGUGCUGCUAGCUUUUGGCCCAGAUAAGCUAGUGCUCUUGACAAUCUUUGCCAGAACCUUAUCAAGUUCUGUGUGGAGCCCUUCGACAUGAUCCAAACUAGCCUGCACUUCAUCAGCGACUUUGUUGUUCUCUUGCUUCAUGUUCAGGACCUCUCCCUGGAGUUUUGCAACUUGGUACCAAGUGAAUCUAGCUCCAUGCUCAGUGUCUUCAUCCAUUUCCUUGGCUCCUUCGAUUUCCUCCUGUAGGUUGCAUAGGGAAUCAAACCUACACUGGAGUUCACCUUUGAACAUCAUAUUCUGUUCUGACCAUACUUGCAGUUCAAUCUUGAGUUCUCUUAGCCUCUUUUUUGUUGCUUCCAUUUCUGAGUCUGCAGGGCAUUCAUUUGUACCAUCCUUGUUUGGCUUUAGCUUGUCAUUUGUUACCUUACUGAUCUCAGACUGUAGCUGAUCGUACUUGGUCUGAAAUCCUUGUAUUUGUUGGAAAGACAUGCUCAACUUCAUUAAGAGCGCUAGGUUCUCCUCCAUAAGUGCAUCGAUGUUUCUUCUGAACUUCUCUUCAAGUGGCGAUGCUUUCUCCAUCUCAACUACAUUCGUUGGUGUGAGAUCCUCCAGAAUAAUGCUUUCUUGAUUGGUAACAGCAUCGUGUGGUACAUCAGGUUCCAUGGAAGAACUGGUAUUCAGGAUAUUUUUGAGGCUAGAGUUAUUUUCCAUUCUUCUAGGAAUAGAGGAGACACUUUGUGCCCUUUGAUGAAGUUGCAGAAUACUUGGAGUCCUUCGAUGGCCCCUUACCGUUUUAUUCUUCUCACUUAGGGACAUGGUUGAAUUCAACUGAUGACCUCUUUGUGAUGCAUCUUUGUAAGUUAAAGAUUCAAAGAGCUCACAAAGUGACCGAAUCUCAGCAUCCUUCAUUUCGUUGGCACACUCUAGUUCGCUUAUCAUGGCUCGCAUCUCAUUCAAGCAUUCCUGGUUCUUUGUUUCCACUUCUGCAAGUCUUCGCUUUGCAUUCUUAUAGUUUCGGAGGAUGGAAGUGUACUCGUCUAAUAGUACCUUUUCCUUAUCUUGGAUUCCAGUCAUAAGCGAUUGCUGCAGAUUAAUCACGUCAUCCUCUUGAUCUCCAACAUUUGCCACUUCCCCACAAAUAGAAGUCGGAUUUUUAUUGACAUAUGAAGCUUCUGCUUCGUCCAUCUCCAUAUUCUGUUCUGGCCUGCUCUCAGACAUGUUGUUACACUGUGUUGAGUAAUAUAUCACAUUAUCCUCUUGUUUCACAUUUUCUCCUGGGCUGCUUGGGGAAAUGCGAUGCAGUUGUUCUAAUGGGCAACUCUCAAGGGAGUGUGCAAUAUAUGGUUGCACACUGCUUUCAUUGUUCCUAGUGACUUCAUCAACAUGUUCUGGCCCUCCAUUAUUAUUAUCAGCAGACAAAUUAUGGUCUGCAUUUUCUGUUGUUCCUACAUCCACUGAUGCAGAUAUACUAAACUUAUCUUCAAACUCACAACACCACAAAUCCUCUGUUUUAUCUACAUGAGAGUGCCUUUCUGCUUUAAUCUCAUAGUGGCAAGUAGAUGACUGACGAUCGUCACUGAAGAUACUUGGCUCUGAUGUGUCUGGACCAUUAGUAAAUCCAUCCACAUGUGGCUUCCUUGCAGUUUCGUCCAUCUCAGGAGUUUCUGAUGGGCUUGUUUUGCGAUGCACACUUGAUAGUUCAGUGUCAGUGGAUUGUGUUGCUUCAUCAUUCAGCAUGCACCUGGAAACUGCUUGCUGCUCAGUGAGAGGUGAUUGCAGCAGCAUAUGUGAAAUAUCACAGAAACUGUUUAUUGUUUCCUCGAAAUUUGUAUAGACUAUUCUUUCUUCUGCAUGAUAGGAUGUCAAAAGGUUAUGCACUCUAAUAAGCACCUCUUCUGCCUCCUUAAGCUUGCCAUCUAAUUCACCUGAGGCACAGGUUUGUUCUGCCUUCUCUUCCUCCAAUUUCUGCAAUGAUUUCUCCAGCUCAUUGUUUUCUAGACACAGUCUAUUUAUCUGUGCAGUUUGGGUUGGAAUCAUGAGUUCCAAAUCCACAACUUUGUUGACUAGUUCAUCAAUUUUGUCUGCAAUAUCUUCCACAGAAAGAUCAGAGCUCAUCUCAAAGUAUCCCCUGAUCUUACCUACCAGUUCUUGUAGUUCAGUUUUCUCCUGCUUCAUGGAGAACAAUUCAUCUUUCCUAGCACUGGCAUCAUUAUUAACAUUCUCAUCUGCAGAAUUUCCUGAAUAUGCUAGUGACUUACCAUAUGCUCUGAAGAAACUCUUCAGUUUAUGCCUAGAAACCUCAACUCUUUCGGACUCAAUCAUUUCUUGCCUGAAAAAUGACUUCUGUUGCUCCUGCAUUUUGGUAAUGGCACCUUCACAAGAUUUAAGAGCAGUGGCUGCCAUCAAAGCCUGGGCCUCAUGAUCCUCUAUCUCUGCACUUUCAUUGAACUCAUCCUGGAAGUAGCAAACUUCUUCCUGCAUUUCAUUAAUUUGCUUUUCAAGAUCCCAGUACUUUGCAAUUCUACUCUCAUAAGAGCUUUUGACGAAUUCUUUCUCAGUCUGCAGGACCAAUAUCUCUUUCUGCAGCCUGCUAAUCUCAGCCUGUGCAUUAUCCUUGCUGACUGGAGCUGCAGAUUUCUCGCCCGAACCCUUCGGUCUUGAUUUCUCACCAUGCUUCUUUUUCAUCAGUUCCUCCACCGUCGACUUGUGGAUUUUGCGACGCUCAACCGCGGUAAAAGCCUUCGGGAGGUUAUCAUUGUCCUCUUCUAACAAUGAAUACUGAAUCUGAUCUGGGAAGGCAGUUGCAAUGGUGUGGUUUGCUUUGUGUAACUCCCCUGACAUAUGGUCAUAGCGUUCAGCAAGGGCCCUGUAUGCCCGGUAUGCUUCUUCCACUGAACAGAUCACCUCCGGUCGUCGCUUGUAAUACAUCUCCGCCCUCUUAGCGAAAGAAUCAGCUUCCUCCUCGAGGAGGAAGAGGAUACACUUGACCCUAUCUUCCAUAUCUGCACGAGUGCACAUGCAUGGAAAUCUUAACACCCAAAAUACAGUAAUGUUGAACAAUGAAUAAAAAACAUGUAUAAUUGGUCUUGGCGGACUUGGAAUUCCCAACCUAGAAUUUAUGGGUUGGGCGUUGCAGAUUCGAUGGUUGUGGUUCCGAAAUAUACAAAAAUACAAUCUUCUGCAUAUUCGGGAGAAAAAAAAACCAAAUGUUCACGGUACAACUAAUCCUAUGUACAGAUUUUGUACCAUGCAUUUCUCAUAUAUUUGGGAUCUUUUGCAGGAAAUUAUCCGAUCUUGGAGAAAGGAAAGAAAAUAAAAGAAAUAGUCCAGAUAAAC
RNAcentral lists this long non-coding RNA (4232 nucleotides) under Zea mays. Its description in RNAcentral is "long non-coding RNA (ZMAY_LNC003646)". The record is from RNAcentral. Lineage: Eukaryota; Viridiplantae; Streptophyta; Magnoliopsida; Poales; Poaceae.